RNAcentral lists this ribosomal RNA (561 nucleotides) under Bagre bagre (Coco sea catfish). Its description in RNAcentral is "partial 16S ribosomal RNA". It matches the Rfam family "Bacterial large subunit ribosomal RNA", at positions 1819 to 2595 of the family's 2925-position model. The record is from RNAcentral. Lineage: Eukaryota; Metazoa; Chordata; Actinopteri; Siluriformes; Ariidae.
CCUCCUGCAAAAACAAUAUAUAGGAGGUCUCACCUGCCCAGUGACAAUUUAAACGGCCGCGGGUAUUUUGACCGUGCGAAGGUAGCGCAAUCACUUGUCUCUUAAAUGAAGACCUGUAUGAAUGGUAGAACGAGGGCUUAACUGUCUCCCUUUUUAAGUCAAUGAAAUUGAUCUGCCCGUGCAGAAGCGAGCAUAAUAAUACAAGACGAGAAGACCCUUUGGAGCUUAAGGCCUCAGAUCAACUAUGUCAAGAACUUCAAUCAAAGUUAAACAAAAUAAUACCUGAUCCUAGCCUUUAGUUGGGGCGACCGUGGGAGAAAACAAAGCUCCCAUGAGGACUGGAUCUACCUCCAGAACCAAGAAAGACAUUUCUAAGUCACAGAACCUCUGACCAUAAUGAUCCGGCCACUAGCCGAUCAACGAACCUAGUUACCCUAGGGAUAACACGCAAUCCCCUUUAAGAGUCCAUAUCGACAAGGGGGUUUACGACCUCGAUGUUGGAUCAGGACAUCCUAAUGGUGCAGCCGCUAUUAAGGGUUCGUUUGUUCAACGAUUAAAGUC